GGGCUCAACCCGCGGACGGCACAUGAUACUGCGAGACUAGAGUAAUGGAGGGGGAACCGGAAUUCUCGGUGUAGCAGUGAAAUGCGUAGAUAUCGAGAGGAACACUCGUGGCGAAGGCGGGUUCCUGGACAUUAACUGACGCUGAGGCACGAAGGCCAGGGGAGCGAAAGGGAUUAGAUACCCCUGUAGUCCUGGCAGUAAACGGUGCACGCUUGGUGUGCGGGGAAUCGACCCCCUGCGUGCCGGAGCUAACGCGUUAAGCGUGCCGCCUGGGGAGUACGGUCGCAAGAUUAAAACUCAAAGAAAUUGACGGGGACCCGCACAAGCGGUGGAGUAUGUGGCUUAAUUCGAUGCAACGCGAAGAACCUUACCUGGGCUUGACAUGUAAUGAACAACAUGUGAAAGCAUGCGACUCUUCGGAGGCGUUACACAGGUGCUGCAUGGCCGUCGUCAGCUCGUGUCGUGAGAUGUUUGGUUAAGUCCAGCAACGAGCGCAACCCCUGUUGCCAGUUACCAGCACGUGAAGGUGGGGACUCUGGCGAGACUGCCCAGAUCAACUGGGAGGAAGGUGGGGACGACGUCAGGUCAGUAUGGCCCUUAUGCCCAGGGCUGCACACGUACUACAAUGCCCAGUACAGAGGGGGCCGAAGCCGCGAGGCGGAGGAAAUCCUAAAAACUGGGCCCAGUUCGGACUGUAGGCUGCAACCCGCCUACACGAAGCCGGAAUCGCUAGUAAUGGCGCAUCAGCUACG
RNAcentral lists this ribosomal RNA (752 nucleotides) under human gut metagenome. Its description in RNAcentral is "bacterial SSU rRNA". It matches the Rfam family "Bacterial small subunit ribosomal RNA", at positions 605 to 1356 of the family's 1533-position model. The record is from RNAcentral.